AUUGAUCGCUGGCGGCAGGCCUAACACAUGCAAGUCGAGCGGUUGACGGGAGCUUGCUCCCUGAUUCAGCGGCGGACGGGUGAGUAAUGCCUAGGAAUCUGCCUAUUAGUGGGGGACAACGUUUCGAAAGGAACGCUAAUACCGCAUACGUCCUCCGGGAGAAAGCAGGGGACCUUCGGGCCUUGCGCUAAUAGAUGAGCCUAGGUCGGAUUAGCUUGUUGGUGAGGUAAUGGCUCACCAAGGUGACGAUCCGUAACUGGUCUGAGAGGAUGAUCAGUCACACUGGAAAUGAGAAGCGGUGCAGACUCCUACGGGAGGCAGCAGUGGGGAAUGUUGGACAAUGGGCGAAAAGAUGAACCAGCCAUGCCGCGUGUGUGAAGAAGGUCUGCGGAUUGUAAAGCACUUUAAGUUGGGAGGAAGGUUUGUAGAUUAAUACUCUGCAAUUUUGACGUUACCGACAGAAUAAGCACCGGCUAACUCUGUGCCAGCAGCCGCGGUAA
This 500-nucleotide ribosomal RNA is filed under the name uncultured bacterium. RNAcentral's name for it is "partial 16S ribosomal RNA". It matches the Rfam family "Bacterial small subunit ribosomal RNA", at positions 30 to 523 of the family's 1533-position model. The record is from RNAcentral.